CUGCUUCCAAGUUUCAUCUUUCAAAAUUUGCCUGCCCCUGUUCACUCUACAUAGCCUUCAGGGAUAUCGGCACCCACUGAGAAUCUCAGCCUGUGACUUCUAGAAGUGGGGAAAAUGGUAGAUUACCUCAGUUGUUUGAAGCAAUUUCG
This is a long non-coding RNA of Prionailurus viverrinus (fishing cat), 149 nucleotides long. RefSeq lists it as uncharacterized. Lineage: Eukaryota; Metazoa; Chordata; Mammalia; Carnivora; Felidae. The record is from RefSeq and is a predicted model, not a curated record. The transcript is spliced from 3 exons.